CAGUCCGCUCCCUCGCUCCCAAUUUAGUCCCCGCCGCUCCCAGGGACUGGAGCACAGUUGGAUCAUGCUCAGGAGGUGACACGAGCAGCCCCAGUAAAACCGUUUCUCUCUCAGCCUGCUCCGUCCACUCCUCUCCCUCUAUCCAGCCCAGCCUCUCAGUAAAACCGUCUCUCUCUCAGCCUGCUCCGUCCACUCCUCUCCCUCUAUCCAGCCCAGCCUCUCAGUAAAACCGUCUCUCUCUCAGCCUGCGCCGUCCACUCCUCUCCCUCUAUCCAGCCCAGCCUCUCCUCUCUUCAGCCUCAGAGCCAUGGACUCUUCCCAUGAGGUUCCCUUCAUGGAUGGUCUCACUAUGAAGGAGAUAGCCCCAGCCUCGGCCCCAGAUGCCAACGUCUACACCAAGUUCAUGAGGAACCACUGCUGCUACGACGCCAUUCCAACCAGCUCCAAACUGGUCAUCUUCGACACCACCUUGCAGGUAAAAAAAGCUUUCUUUGCUCUGGUGGCGAACGGUGUUCGUGCGGCGCCGCUGUGGGACAACAAGCUGCAGUGUUUUGUAGGUAUGCUGACCAUCACAGACUUUAUCAACAUUCUCCACCGGUAUUGGCAGUCUCCUCUGGUAGAGAUCUACGAACUGGAGGAGCACAAGAUAGAAGACUGUAGAGAGGAAUUGCUGAAGUACUCCAACCAUACUCUGAUUAGUAUCACCCCUGACUCCAGCCUUUUUGAUGCCAUCUAUUCUCUGCUGAAGUAUAAGAUCCAUCGGCUGCCUGUGAUCGACCCAGAGUCUGGCAACGUCCUGCACAUCCUCACCCACAAACGUAUCCUCAAGUUCCUGCAUAUCUUUGGCACCAUGAUCCCGAAGCCUCGGUAUCUCCAGAAGAGAAUUGAGGAGGUGGACAUUGGAACAUUUAAACAGAUUGCUACUGUCCGGGAGACAGACACGGUGUACGACGCCCUGGCCAUCUUCGUACAGCGGAGGGUUUCCGCUCUGCCAGUGGUCAAUGAGGAGGGGAAAAUCAAGGCCCUGUACUCCAGGUUUGAUGUGAUUAAUCUGGCCGCUCAGAAGAACUACAAUAACCUGAACAUGACCAUGCAGGAGGCGAUCAGUAGCAGGGCCUGCUGUGUGGACGGGGUGCUGAAGUGUUACCCUCACGAGACUCUAGAGACUAUCAUCGAUCGUAUUGCUAAGGCAGAGGUCCACCGUCUCGUGCUGGUGGAUAAAGAUGACGUGGUGGGGGGGAUCGUCUCACUCUCUGACCUCCUCCAGGCCCUGGUCUUGACCCCGGCAGGUAUUGAUGCCCUUUUCUCUUAGCACCUGACUGUGGGUUGGGGGGUCCAUCUAUCACUACCCACCACCUCCCAGCCCCUCCCACCACCUCCCAGCCCCUCCCCAGCCCCAACCCCAGAGAUUUCCCGAAGAGCUCAAUCUCUGACCACUGAAGACAAAUUGGGACACAAAUUGGGACACUAAUAAUGAAUGAAGACAGAAACUCUGUAAAUAUUUUUAGAUUGUGCUCGGUAACUUUAAAAUGCUUUUUAAAAGGUUUAUUAUUUUCUGCAGGAAUACUAAUAAUACACCAAUACUUUCAUAUUUUUAUAUUCUUGUGUUUGUUUAGUACUUGUUUGUAUACAUUUUUGUAUACAUUAAUGUACAUUUGAUAAAAUCUCUCCUAUCCCGUUCAAAACUAUUAUUUAUUUACAUAUAUAUACAUAUAUAUAUAUAUAUACAGUACCAGUCAAUAGCUUUGACACACCUACUCAUUCCAGGGUUUUCUUUAUUUUGUACUAUUUGCUACAUUGUAGAAUAACAGUGAAGACAUCAACAACUAUGAAAUAACACAUGGAAUCAUGAAGUGACCAAAAACAGUGUUAAACAAAUCUAAAUAUAUUUAAUAUUUUGAGAUUCUUCAAAGUAGCCACCCUUUGCCUUGAUGACAGCUUUGCAUAGUCUUGGCAUUCUCUCAACCAGUUUCACCUGGAAUGCCUUUUCAACAGUCUUGAAGGAGUUCCCACUUAUGUUGAGCGCUUGUUGGCUGCUUUUCCUUCACUCUGCGAUCAAACUCAUCCCAAACUAUCUCAAUUUGGUUGAGGUCGGGUGAUUGUGGAGGCCAGGUCAUCUGCUGCAGCACUCCAUCACUCUCCUUCUUGGUCAAAUAGCCUUUACACAGCCUGGAGGUGUGUUGGGUCAUUGUCCUGUUGAAAAACAAAUGAUAGUUCCACUAAGCACAAACCAGAUGGGAUGGUGUAUUGCUGCAGAAUGCUGUGGUAACCAUGCUGGUUAAGUGUGCCUUGAAUUCUAAAUAAAUCACUGACAGUGUCACCAGCAAAGCACCAUCACACCUCCUCCUCCAUGCUUCACGGUGGGAACCACACAUGCGGAGAUCAUCCGUUCACCUACUCAAAAAGACGGUUGGAACCAAAAAUCUUAAAUUUGAACUCAUCAGACCAAAAGGCAAAUUUCCACCGUUCCAAUGUCCAUUCCUCAUGUUUCUUGGCCCAAAAAAAGUAUAUUUUUCUUAUUCGUGUCCUUUAGUAGUGGUUUCUUUGCAGCAAUUUGACCAUGAAGGCCGCGGUCAUGCAGUCUCCUCUGAACAGUUGAUGUUGAGAUGCGUCUGUUACUUGAACUCUGUGAAGCAUUGAUUUGGGCUCCAAUCUGAGGCUGGUAACUCUAAUGAACGUAUCCUCUGCAGCAGAGGUAACUCUGGGUCUUCCAUCCCUGAGGCUGGGUCCUCAUGAGAGCCAGUUUCAUCGUAGCGCUUGAUGAUUUUUGCGACUGCACUUGAAGAAACUUUCAAAGUUCUUGAAAUGUUGUGUAUUGACUGACCUUCAUGUCUUAAAGUAAUGAUGGACUGUC
Molecule: RNA transcript, 2854 nt
Organism: Oncorhynchus nerka (sockeye salmon)
Lineage: Eukaryota; Metazoa; Chordata; Actinopteri; Salmoniformes; Salmonidae
Gene name: 5'-AMP-activated protein kinase subunit gamma-1-like
Exons: 13
Source: RefSeq, a predicted model, not a curated record